This 253-nucleotide ribosomal RNA is filed under the name uncultured bacterium. RNAcentral describes it as "partial 16S ribosomal RNA". It matches the Rfam family "Bacterial small subunit ribosomal RNA", at positions 524 to 776 of the family's 1533-position model. The record is from RNAcentral.
UACGGAGGAUCCGAGCGUUAUCCGGAUUUAUUGGGUUUAAAGGGAGCGUAGGCGGCCUGUUAAGUCAGGGGUGAAAGACGGUGGCUCAACCAUCGCAGUGCCUUUGAUACUGACAGGCUUGAAUGUAGUUGAGGUGGGCGGAAUGUGACAAGUAGCGGUGAAAUGCUUAGAUAUGUCAUAGAACACCGAUAGCGAAGGCAGCUCACUAGGCCUGGAUUGACGCUAAGGGACGAAAGCGUGGGGAGCAAACAGG